AUUGAACGCUGGCGGCAGGCCUAACACAUGCAAGUCGAGCGGAUGAAGGGAGCUUGCUCCUGGAUUCAGCGGCGGACGGGUGAGUAAUGCCUAGGAAUCUGCCUGGUAGUGGGGGAUAACGUCCGGAAACGGGCGCUAAUACCGCAUACGUCCUGAGGGAGAAAGUGGGGGAUCUUCGGACCUCACGCUAUCAGAUGAGCCUAGGUCGGAUUAGCUAGUUGGUGGGGUAAGGGCCUACCAAGGCGACGAUCCGUAACUGGUCUGAGAGGAUGAUCAGUCACACUGGAACUGAGACACGGUCCAGACUCCUACGGGAGGCAGCAGUGGGGAAUAUUGGACAAUGGGCGAAAGCCUGAUCCAGCCAUGCCGCGUGUGUGAAGAAGGUCUUCGGAUUGUAAAGCACUUUAAGUUGGGAGGAAGGGCAGUAAGUUAAUACCUUGCUGUUCUGACGUUACCAACAGAAUAAGCACCGGCUAACUUCGUG
RNAcentral lists this ribosomal RNA (484 nucleotides) under uncultured bacterium. Its description in RNAcentral is "partial 16S ribosomal RNA". It matches the Rfam family "Bacterial small subunit ribosomal RNA", at positions 30 to 507 of the family's 1533-position model. The record is from RNAcentral.